CUGUCACCCAAACCACGAUCAAGCCCUUUUUAUUUCGAGAAAUCGAGAGAAAAAGAAGCCCCACCUCUAAAGCUCAACUGACGGGAAGUGGGGGUGUGCAGCUGAGAGUUCGAGAGCUACCGGACCCCAAAGACAGGGCUGGGCCCUGGCACCUACCUGCGCGCCCCGACCCAACACUUAGGUAACACGGAAAACCUGAGGACCUGGUGGCGUCCAGGAGUGAGGAAGCGGAGAAAGGAUGGGUGUGCAUUGACAGUGGAGAAGGCGGGUUGUGUAAUGUGGGGAAAGUGAAACAAGCAGGCAAAAAAGUGAAGCAAUAGCAGGCGCCGAGGUCGGCUGUAAAACAAACAAACAAAAACAAACUCAGAAGGAGGAGGGGAGAGGAGGCAUCGGUAUUGGCGGAUCUCGGGAGAGAAGGAUCACUCUCCGAAUGGGAGGCAGUCCACUCUAGAAAGUGAGGAUAUGCUCUGGGGGAGGUUGUUUGGGAGAGACUGUGGAUGGUCUCGGGUGGAAAUGGGUGAAAGCAUCAUGGCGGCGGGGGGAACUGUGGAAGUGUCUCUUCACUGGGUAAGUGCGGGAGGUGGAGGUCUACAGGUCAGUCCAUCUACACCCAGUAACUAGGGGGAGGGCGCUACCUUGGAGGUGGGAGUAUCUGCACUGGGUGAUGUAGGUGGGAGGGAGAGGUAUGCAAUGGAAGAGAGGAGGUCUACACAAGCGGAAUUGAGGGAAGUAGAGAUAUCUACACAUCAGAAGCUGGGGGGAAGAGGGGAGGGGUGUAAAAUGCGCUUGGGAGGGAGUCCUCGCUGAAUUUAGAGAGCCUCCGUGGAGGAUGGGAGGUCACCUGUACCCCAGGAAAAUAUAGGUUAGAGACCUGCGACGCGGCCCUUGAGACGGAGGUCUGGGUGUGGAACUCUUCGACUGGGCAGGCCUGGGAGGCCGCCUGUGCCCAGGAAGUAUUCUCUGCGCGCAGGCCAGACCAUGGGAACCCAAAAGCCUCGGAUACUGCCCUGGCUGAUAUCUCAGCUGGACCGAGGGGAGUUGGAGGGCGUGGCCUGGCUGGGCGAGAGCCGCACGCGUUUCCGCAUCCCUUGGAAGCACGGCUUGCGGCAGGACGCCCAGCAGGAGGAUUUCGGCAUCUUCCAGGCCUGGGCUGAAGCCAGUGGUGCCUAUACUCCUGGGAAGGAUAAGCCCGACCUGCCCACAUGGAAGAGGAAUUUCCGGUCUGCCCUGAACCGGAAGGAAGUGUUGCGUUUAGCGGAGGACCACAGCAAGGACUCCCAAGACCCGCACAAGAUCUAUGAGUUUGUGAACUCAGGGGUCAGGGACAUCCCUGAGACAGAUACCGCUCAAGACAAUGGCAGACACAGUACCUCUGAUACCCAGGAAGACAUUGUGCAGAAGUUACUGAGUGACAUGGACUUGAGCCCAGAAGGAGGGCCCUCGAAUCUGACUAUGACCUCUGAGAACCCCCCUCAGCUCUUACUGAGCCCCGAAUCAGACAUCCCUGCUCUUUGCCCAAACUCGGGACUCUCUGAAAACCCCCUGAAGCAGCUGUUGGCGAACGAGGAAGAUUGGGAGUUCGAGGUGACUGCCUUCUACCGGGGCUGUCAAGUCUUCCAGCAGACUGUCUUCUGCCCUGGGGGCCUGCGGCUGGUGGGAUCAGAAGCAGGGGACAGGAUGCUGCCCGGGCAGCCAAUACGACUGCCGGACCCCGCAGCGUCCCUAGCAGACAAGAGCGUGACAGACUACGUGCAGUGUGUGCUGAGCUGCCUGGGCGGGGGGCUGGCCCUGUGGCGGGCCGGGCAGUGGCUCUGCGCCCAGAGGCUGGGGCACUGCCACGUGUACUGGGCCAUAGGCGAGGAACUCCUCCCCAGCUGUGGCCACAAGCCUGACGGCGAGGUCCCGAAGGACAGGGAAGGAGGUGUGUUCAACCUGGGGCCCUUCAUAACAGGCCCCAGUCAUGGUAGCAGAGGUAUGCCGGGCUUUUGAUCAGGAGAGAAGGUAAGGAUGUUAUGAAGUUUUGGGGGAGAGGGGAGGGGCAGGGAGAAGGUCUUCUUCCCAUCCCUGACUCUCUGUUCCUUGGCCCCCAGAUCUGAUCACCUUCACUGAAGGAAGCAGACGUUCACCACUCUAUACCCUCUGGUUCUGUGUGGGGCAGUCAUGGCCCCAGGACCAGCCAUGGAUCAAGAGGCUUGUGAUGGUCAAGGUUGUCCCCAUGUGCCUCAGGGUUCUUGUAAACAUAGCGCGGCAAGGGGGUGCCUCCUCCCUGGAGAACACUGUCGACCUGCACAUUUCCAACAGCCAACCCCUCUCUCUCACCUCAGACCAGUACAUGGCCUAUCUCCAGGACCUGGCCGAGGACAUGGAUUUCUAGGUUGCUGGGGAGGCCUGAGCCCAAGCCCUUCACCUCGACCAAUAAACUGGUUCUGGCCAUGGUCA
RNA transcript from Capra hircus (goat), 2439 nucleotides. It is a transcript of the gene named interferon regulatory factor 3, with no coding region annotated. The transcript is spliced from 7 exons. NCBI's taxonomy places the organism in Eukaryota, Metazoa, Chordata, Mammalia, Artiodactyla, Bovidae. The record is from RefSeq and is a predicted model, not a curated record.